CCUACGGGAGGCAGCAGUGGGGAAUAUUGCUCAAUGGGGGAAACCCUGAAGCAGCGACGCCGCGUGAGUGAAGAAGGAAUUAGUUAUGUAAAGCUCUAUCAGCAGGGCAGAAAAUGACGGUACCUGAGUAAGAAGCCCCGGCUAACUACGUGCCAGCAGCCGCGGUAAUACGUAGGGGGCAAGCGUUAUCCGGAUGGACUGGGUGUAAAGAGAGCGUAGACGGAGGUGCAAGUCCGAUGUGAAAGGCGGGGGCUCAACCACCGGACUGCUUUUGAAACUGUACGGCUGGAGUGCAGGAGAGGUAAGUGGAAUUCCUGGUGUAGCGGUAAAAUGCGUAGAGAUCAGGAGGAACACUAGUGGCGAAGGCGGCUUACUGGACUGUAACUGACGUUGAGGCUCGAAAGCGUGGGGAGCAAACAGGAUUAGAUACCCCUGUAGUC
This 440-nucleotide ribosomal RNA is filed under the name uncultured bacterium. Its description in RNAcentral is "partial 16S ribosomal RNA". It matches the Rfam family "Bacterial small subunit ribosomal RNA", at positions 338 to 795 of the family's 1533-position model. The record is from RNAcentral.